AUCAGCCCGUUGCUCAGAGCCAUGCGGACUAGAAGCUUACUCUAUUUUGCGGGGAAGGGCCAUAGCUCAGUAGCCGGGCGUCUGCCUUGCAGGCAGAAAGUCUCAGCUUCGGACCCCGACAUCAAGGACAGGUAGGGCUGCCCAAAAUAUAAUAAUAAUAAAAAUAAAAAUUAUAAUACUGUUUUUAUUAUUAUUAUUCCUGGAGAGCCACUAACAAUAGUGUCAACAAUCUUGAGCUAGAUGGAGUAACGGCCCGGCUUGGCCGCAUAAGGAAGCUUCCUGCGUUCCUGUAAUGUAGAAAUUUGGCCGACAGAAGCGAGAAGGCGGCACAAACCCUCUAUGGCUCCUUUACUAGGAAUCCCCUAGAUGAGGACCUGAUGGGAGAAGUGGUAGCGAGGGUUAACUAAGCCUGGGUAAAAUCUCGCCCUUUGGCAUUCCAUCGGAAUGGAGUCUAGUCCCGUCUUGCUGGGCCAGAGGGCACGUCCCCCCCCCCUCCAGACCAGGGUUCCUGUUUGCUUGGAGAGACCCACCUGAGCCCAGUGGAAAAUGUGAGUGGCAUGUGCAGCGGGGCGGGGGGGCAUGGAAACACAGAGCUCCCUCUUUACCUGCCAACCCAACUUUGAUGCAGGAAAUCUUUGGAAUUGUGUAGAAGCAACCUUUCAGUCAGUUGCAUUUGAGUGGGGGUGUGGUGUGCAGGUUAUUUCCAAGGGUCCGAGUUGCUUUGCAUGAUCCUCAUUCUGAGAAGUGGCUUCAAAGGAAGCACUUUUAAAAACUUCCCACAAAGACACAGACAUCAUUUUCUGGCCUGGGUCAGAGCAACCCUUGUUACCUUGAUUCCACAUUUUUUGUUAAAGGUACACCUCCAGUUUUGCAUGACCAUUGAGAGGAAAGGGGUGGGUGGGUCUGGUGUGGUGAAGCAUUUGUGUGAAGACUCAAGAAUUACUGGGAAAUCUUUUAAGAGAUGGUUACUCAGGCAUGCGUCACUGGGUCCACAAGGGUAGCUUUUGCAUCAGAAUCACACACAGCAAGCCCAAGAUCAGCUUGUUGUGAUUUAAUGCAGCCUUUGCUGACCUCGUGGCCUCUAGAUGCCUUGGACUGCAACAGCCCAGCUUCGCUGAUAUGGGCUGAUGGGAAUUGGAGUCCGAAACAUCUGGAGGGCAUUGAGUUAUUAAAUCGAACCAUCUUUUUUAACAAUAAGAUGGCAAUUCUGAUUCGCCACUGUGAUACUUGCUAGGAUCAAAAUGGGACUACAGACUCUUGGGUCUGUAUAAUCCUGUAUAUGUCACAGAGGCAGUAAUGCUUCUAAUACCAGUUGCUGGAAACCACAAGGAGGAGAGGGCUCUUGUGCUCGGGUCCUGCUUACAGGUUUCUCAGGCAUCUGGUUGGCCAUUUUGAGAACAGGAUACUGAACUAGAUGGACCCUCUUUGGCCUGAUCCAACAGGGAUGAUCUUAUGUCAUUGUGACAAUGCACUCCAAGAAAGAACAGUUAUUGCCAUUCACCAGUGAGGUCCAGCAAGGCUUUGGCUAGACUGCUUGAGUAGCUUCCUUCCGGGUUUGUCUGCUCUCCACUCCCAACCUCCUUUUUGGCUUCACUGUACCCAUAUUCAGACAUGGCAAUGGAGGUCUCGGGACUGCAUUGACUUCCUGCCCCACUACUGUCCCUACUGGCUGGAGGUGGGACUGCAGGCACUUUUAUUAUUCAUUAGUGCGAAUACUAGUUGGGUUUUGUUUUGUUUUAAGUGGAUAUGUGACAUCAGGGCAACAGAGCACUUCAAUUCACUUUAAUUGUGCAAACCUAAAUUUCUGGUAUGCACCCGAAUCCCUCCUGCAAAAUACCAAUAGCCUGGAGGUGAUCAUGCAAACAGAAUAAAAAUACAGUGGUAAAAACAUAGCACUUGUUAAUACACUAAUAAGACAACCAUCUCAAGAAUCACAUCUAUGGUUACACAGAAAGAAACAAUAGCAGUGUAUGGGUAGUGGUAACACAUCACCCUCCCCCAAACAUCGGUGGGGGGAUCUGAAACUGGCUCUGAUUAUGGAGAGCUCUCCCCAGCAAAGCCCUCCUGGCGCUGACACUUUUUUGGUGCCAGUCAAAAAGGUUUUCUUUUCCUGUACAUUGGGACAAUAUCUACCUGGCUCUGCAGUCCCUCAGUGGGGACUGCCAUCUUCCCCACCCUGCUCCUGCUGCGGCUGUUGGGGGGGGGGGACUGCUGCUGCUACAGAAGCAAAGAGGACUGCAGAGAAUACUGCAAGGACCAGGUCUCUGAACAGGCAGGCAAAGUGGGAACAGCUGCUGCCCCAGCUGGGCUGGGUCCAGCUGCUGGGGCACUGUUAUAAAGCCUACCCGCGUAGGGGGCGGGGCCAUCCCGGUGGGGGAACACCUAAGGGGGUCAUCCCUUGGGGGUAGCCCUUUGGGGGGUGAGACAAGGGUGAGGGACAGCCCCCCCAGUGUUAUUAGGUAGUUAUUUAAAUGUUUUUAGGCAUUUUAAAUAGUUUUUAAUCUAUGUUUUUUUGAAUAUUGGUUUUGUUGGGGGUGGGAUGGACAUUUGGUUGGGGCUGGGGAUUGGUUUAAUUUUAGUAUGAUUAUAAAUUAUUAUUAAUUGCGUUUUUUGUUUCUACUGUUCUAUUGGUUUGUUGUAUGGUUUGUGUUCUAUUCUUAAGGGGAGAGGGUCAGGGCUGCCUGAGAGUGGGCCCCAGCCAACAAAAUGACUGGGGCAGGUUCCACAGGGAGGGAUGCACUGGGACACCCGAUCUCAGUGAUCACGGGUAGGAGGAGGACCAUGUCAUUUCCGAAGAGGCAGGUUUAGUCGUUGUUUGAGGACUAUCCCUGCUUUCAGGUCUGGUCUUGACCGGAAGGAUACUGGAAUCAGCAAGGGAGACCCACAUGACCUUAUGGUCAUGCAAUGCCAGGCCAAUGAUUCACAAGACGGCUGUCAUCCACGACUUGAUCAUGGAUGGAGGACUUGACGUGGCAUGUGUGACCGAGACUUGGUUGGAUGUAGCAGGUGGUCCUGUUCUUGCCGCUGCUUGUCUACCAGGUUUCUCUUACACACAGCAACCCAGGUCAUGUGGGCAGGGAGGGGGUGUUGCAGUGAUUUUUAGGAAGUCAUUAGCUUGCACCAGGUAUCCUAUUGAGAAGACCCAGUUUUCUGAGUGUAUUUUCUGGAAGUUGGCCAAUAGUGGCAGUACAGGAUUCCUUUUGGUGUCCUAACCUCCGCCCUGCACCAAGGAUUCCCUUCCCGGGUGUGAUGGCCUGGGAAUCCGAUUCAGAGGCCGAACCGGAGGAACCCCAGCCUGCACAGGAGUCCCCGCCUCCAGGGCCGGCUGAGCUGGGGCAGGGCCUUGGAUCUGAAACACCUGCACCUGUGCCGGAUCCUCAGGAGCAGGCACCAGGUGAAUCCUCUCUGGCUCCGGAGGUGAAUGAAGACACAGUGCUUACAGGUGCACCUCUCCCAGCCCUGUCAGGGGAAGGUGAGUCUUCCCCUGGGUCCAGUAACCCUUCAGCCUCCUGAACUGCAGAGGCUCAAGGCAGAGAGGCGAAGGGAACUGAUUUCUCCCAGGAGGAGUGCUCGCCUUAAGGCCAGGAGAGACGGGUCUCCUGGGGGCCGGGACCGCCCCUGGCCUCAGAGAAGAUAAAGGCCAGUCAGCCCGGUCCCAGGUUGCGGGAGCAACGUCGUUGAAGAGCUGUUUCGGCCAGCAUCCAGUCCUGUUCCUCCAGAGUUCCUGUCCUUUUCCAGCUCCUCGCUUUGGUCCCCGCUUCGCCCGUGGAGAACAGUCUACCAACCCUUGACCCAGGACCCUGACCUCGCCUCCCGGUAACCUUCCCCCCCGGGACUAGCACACCGAGCUGCUUCAGGUUGUGGCGGAUAUUCUCCUGGAGACACCUAGUUUGGUUGUCCUUGGGGAUUUUAACACCCAUGCCAACUCAACCUUACAAGGGGCUGCUUGGGAUUUCAUGGAAAGCAUGGCCUCCAUGGAGUUGCCCCUGAAUAAGUUUGGCCCAACUCAUGUCGUGGACAUGCCCUAGACCUGGUGUUCACCUCUAUGGAUGUGGGUGAUCUGACACUAAGUAAAAGCGAAACAAAAGAAGUGCCACUGUCGGAUCACUUCCUGGUGCAACUGGACUUUUCUGCGACCCUUCCCCUCUGCAGGGAGGUGGGACAGAUUCAGAUGGUCCGCCCCCGCCACUUAAUGGAUCCAAAUGGUUUCCAGAGAGUGGUAGGCCAGGGGAUGUUUUAUCCCAUGUUGUUGGCCUUUCAGCUGAUUCCCUGGUGGCCCGCUGGAAUGCCGAGUUAACCAGGGCUAUCAACUGUCUGGCUCCAAAGCGUGCUCUCUGAUUGCAUGGACCCCGGACAGCCCUGUGGCACAGCUGAGGACCACGAAACAAUUGCUGAGACGACUAGAGUGCCGGUGGCGGAAAACUCAUUCUGAAUCGGACCAGACACUGAUGAGAGUUCAGCGUCAAGCCUACCAAGUGGCGAUAGCGACGGCAAAGAGGACCUUCUUCACCGCCUCUAUUGCAUCUGCAGAAAACAGCAGUAGGAGACUCUUUCAGGUGGUUCGCAAUCUAAUGGAACCACCACUGCCAUCGGGGCCUGGUAAGGACCCCAAGAUCUCCUGCAAUGAUUUUGCGAAGUUUUUUGCAGAUAAAGUUGCUCAGAAUUGAAAGAGGUAGACUAUACCGUGGGAGCAAGGCCAGGGCGGGAAAGUGCUGGAGUCCGGUCUAGUCAAGUUGCAUGGGAUCAGUUCCAAUCUGUUACCUCUGAGGAUGUGGACAGGCUGCUUGGAUGAGUGAAAUCGACCACCUGUCUCCUUGAUCCUUGCCCAUCCUGGCUCAUCAAAGCGAGCUGGGAAGGGCUGGGUGAUGGGCUUUCACAAAGGUGAAAGCUGUUUCCUAGUUCUGCUGGAUCUCUCAGUGGCCUUUGAUACCAUCGACCAUGACGUCCUUCUGAACCGUCUAGAGGAGCUGGGGGCACUGUUAUACAGUGGUUCUGCUCCUUCCUCCUGGGCCAUGUCCAGAAAGUGGUGUUAGGGUAUGAGUGUUCAGACCCCUGGGCUCUCACUUGUGGGGUGCCUCAGGGUUCAUUUAUUGCAUUUAUAUCCCACCUUUUUCUCCAAGGAGCUCAGUGUGGAGUACAUGGUGUCAUUUAAUACCCACAACCUCUGUGAGGCAGGGUAGGCUGAGAGGCAGUGACUGGCCUAAGGCCACCCUUGUGACCUUCAUGGCCAAGUAGUUUUGAACUCUGGUCUCCCAGGUCGUAGUCCGAUGCUAACCACUAUGCCACCACUGGCCCCGGUUAUGUGCUAGACCAGCAAGAGGAAAGGGCUAUUGGCUUUGCAACCUACCUCCACUGUUGGACGCAGUAAUGCAUUCAAAUACCAGCUGCUGGAAACAGCUCAAAGGGAGAGUGCUGUUGUGCUCAGGUCCUGCUUAUGGGCUUCUCAUAAGCUUCUAGUUAGUGGCUAUGAUAACAGGAUGCUGGAUUAGACGAGCCAUUGGCUUGAUCCAGCAGAGCUCUUCUUAUUCUUAACAGGUCGGGGAUAGGUAAAGGGAGAGUAAAAACAGGCCUGGUGCAAGAUGUUUUGGUGCUCAAGACAUAGCAAUUGAAAGGACCCACCCACUCACUAACAGAGACCACCACAGUCCAUUGGGAAGCUGCACUCCCAUUCCUUCAAUGUAGCACUGUACCAUAAAUUGAUCCUGUGGGGUUUGUUCUUGUUUUUACGAUUCUACAAUUACUGAGGAGAGAAAAAAUGUGUUUGAAAAUCCUCAUUGAUUGGGAUGUGGCCUUUUUGUUGUUGUUGUUGUUGUUGUUACACUUGGCUUACUUUUCAGGUGGCCAAGAGUUGUUUGCCCAUGUCCUUUCUUUGAUUAUACAAUUUUUCUCCCCAGUAGUCUAUGCUCUGAGUUCCUGGGCUUUAAAGAAGACAUCCAAAAAACAGACACACAACCAAACCUUUAUUGUUAUGGCCAAUCACCAGCACUAAAGAAACAAAAUGAGAAGCACAUAUUAUCCAAAUGUGUAUGCUAAGAUAAGAGAAACAAGUAAAACAAGGU
Molecule: non-coding RNA, 6059 nt
Organism: Podarcis lilfordi (Lilford's wall lizard)
Lineage: Eukaryota; Metazoa; Chordata; Lepidosauria; Squamata; Lacertidae
Source: the annotation of a GenBank genome assembly